UUGAUCAGUUCACUUUCUUUCUCUGUUGUUCGUUAGGGUUUUGAGUCAGAGAUUAUACGAAUAAUCUCUCAUCUGUAUCUGAGAGAUUAUUCUGUGUUGUUGUUUGUACUUCUGUAUUGUUGAUCAUCAGUUGAUGAUCAUCUGUGUACUUUUUGUACUUUGUAUUGUUUGAUCUUACUAUUGUAAGAUCAUAUUUGGGUAUUUUGGGGGGCAAAUAUUUUAGGGUUGGAUAAAUAAGAUUUUGUCACCGUUUUAUCGCUAUUUCUUGUGUUGUCUUGUGAUUGUAGCUUGAUUCAUAAAAUUUUACAUGGUCUGCUUCAAGUGUGCAGAUCUGGGUUGUUAGUGUCAGAUCUGUUUAGAUCUUGGGAGUGUUAUAUUCGAGGCGUUGAAACCCUAACUAGGGUUUCUUGGAAGUGGUGAAGACUCUCCUCGCUUUUCGUGAUUGUUAUACUCUGUGUUGGUCUCUAAAUCCUUGAAGAUUUAGGGCAAACUGACCAGUGUAUUGUUCUUAUUGUUGACUGUAUUUGAAUCUACAAGUUCUUGUGAACUUUAGAUCGAGUUUUUUGGAUCUGCUUGCACCCACUGUGAGAUUGUUCUAUCCUUUCUCCUUUUAUUUUCUGUUGAUUGGAUUAGUUGAAGUCGGGGUAGUGAGGACCGGCACCUUAUUUGUUUGUAUUUGUUGUGAUCUCUCUUGAUUGUUUGUUUUUUGUUUGUUUGGCUCCUGUAUUAAGACAUGUCCAGGCACUAUAAGUGAUGAACCUGGAAUCUUGACACUGAUACAGCUUCGCCUUUUGGGUCUUAUUCUUGUAUUGUGUGAUAUUAUCUGUGCUAUAUUGUGUUUGUUUUGUAUGAUCUGUUAUUUGGUUAAUCAUGACUGGUAAAGAUGAUAAUGCUGGUUCAUCUCAUACCUUGAUUAGCAAGCUAGAUAUAGGUGAUCCUUUGUUUUUACAUCCUAGUGAUUCUAGUUCUUUAACAAUUGUUGGUAUAAAAUUAAAAGGUACUGAGAACUAUAGGGUUUGGUCUAGUGCUAUGAAAUUGGCUCUUGAAGCCAAGAACAAGUUUGGAUUUGUUGAUGGUAAAUGUAAAAAGAACACUGAUGAUCCUGUUUUAAGUAGUCAAUGGGACAUAUGUAAUUCUGUUGUCUUAAGUUGGUUAUUAAACUCUGUUUCAGAAGAAUUGUACUUAGGACAAGUGUUUUCCAAAUUAGCUUCUGAAGUCUGGACAGACUUGAAAGAAACUUAUGAUAAAGUUGAUGGCUCUAUAGUGUAUGAUCUUUAUAAAAAAAUAAACUGUAUUACUCAAAAUGGAAGUUCAGUUUCUGAAUACUAUCAUAAGUUAAAUACAAUAUGGAAACAAUUUGAUGCUGUUCUUCAGUUACCUACUUGUUCAUGUCAAACAGCUAAAGACUAUAAUGACUUUUCUACUUUAAUCAAACUUAUGCAGUUUCUUAUGGGUUUAGAUGAUAUCUAUCAACCUGUAAGAACAAAUUUGUUAACUAGAGAGCCAUUACCUUCAGUCAAGGUUGCUUUUUCAAUUGUGUCUAGAGAAGAAUCACAUAGAAACACAAGUGCAGGAUCAAAAGGUCAAAAUGUAUCAUUUGUUUCUAAAACAAAUCAAACUUUU
RNAcentral lists this long non-coding RNA (1623 nucleotides) under Helianthus annuus (common sunflower). RNAcentral's name for it is "hypothetical non coding rna". Lineage: Eukaryota; Viridiplantae; Streptophyta; Magnoliopsida; Asterales; Asteraceae. The record is from RNAcentral.